GUCAACAAUAGAAAAAUUAACACAGGAGAUUGUAAUAUAUAUUAAUCCUCAUUUUUUGUAAAAGAGCCAUUAAUUCUAUUGAUUCUUCUUCCUUCUUUGAUUUAUCAUCUUCUUCUUUGCUUGAGAAGCUAUAGCUAGGCCAUGGCUCAACUCAGCGCAGUUCGAACGGCCGUAGGGAUCGUGGGAAAUCUUAUAUCACUGGGGCUCUUCAUGUCACCGGUGCCAACAUUUGUGUCCAAUAUGCAAAGAAGAAGG
Asparagus officinalis (garden asparagus) is the source of this 255-nucleotide long non-coding RNA. RefSeq lists it as uncharacterized. The transcript has 3 exons. NCBI's taxonomy places the organism in Eukaryota, Viridiplantae, Streptophyta, Magnoliopsida, Asparagales, Asparagaceae. The record is from RefSeq and is a predicted model, not a curated record.